Thalassophryne amazonica is the source of this 172-nucleotide long non-coding RNA. RefSeq lists it as uncharacterized. The record is from RefSeq and is a predicted model, not a curated record. Lineage: Eukaryota; Metazoa; Chordata; Actinopteri; Batrachoidiformes; Batrachoididae. The transcript has 3 exons.
UCAUUAAAAUGUGAAAUGGCCAAUCUGCUCUGAUCAGACUGAUACCGUCAGAUCUCAGGAGCUAAACAGUGCAGGACCUGGUUAGUACUUGGAUGGGAGACCUCUUUGGAACACCAGUGGCUGUGUGUGUUUGUCCAGCUAAAACUGGAGUUGCAUCAAGAAGGGCAUCAAU